AUGCAGGGGUUUGUCCUUGGAACUAGCUUGCUGCCAUCUGUAGUGGAGAUGAGUCACAUCACCCCAGAGGGCUACUAGGAGGAGGUGAGCAGAUGUGUGGAAUCCGGCCCUGUCACACAGACCUAGCACUUUACACCCUAGCUGAGUCCCCUGCUAAAGAGAGGGCCUGCCCUCUGCCUUCCACCCUCAAUUCUCUGCCCCCCACCCACAGGACUGCCCCACCUAGGGAGGGCUUAGGUUGGGGAGCACCUGUGGACACUCUGAUGCUGGCCACAGGCCCAGGGCCGGGGAUGACAGUGACAAGGACCUGAGUGUGUACAUGAAUGGGGCCAUCUGGCCCAGCCAUAGAAGCAACACACCAUAUGCACACGUGUUCACCCACAUAUGUGUGCACACUCACGUUCACACACUGCAUGCACAUAUGUCGAUGCUUUGGGGGUGGAGGAUGCUGACUCUGGGCCCUGCUGACCCAGGCGGGGGCCCGUUGUGAUGGGUGUCAUGACCCCGCAAUGUCACUGGUGCUGAGUCCCUGCCGCCUACCUGGCUGCCUUCUGUGCCUGGACCUCUUGGAGACAAGACACACAGCAGUGUCUGGUUCUGUGCAGAGGAGGCUUUCCUAAGUGAGAAGCACAGCUGGAUCAGCAGACUCAGGUGAGUGUGACCUGCUGUGUUCCCUCCCUGUUGACCUGGGACAGUCGCUACCUGGUGGGCGGUGCUGGCCUCAGGGCGGGUGCUGAGGAGGGUCAUCCCUGAGCACUCACCAGGUGCCCGUUCUGCACUGAUGGUAUAGAUGUUUGUCUCGUUCGUUCUCACAGUAACUCUGGGGGGUAGGUGCUGUCCCCUAAUGUACUCAUUCCACAGGUGAGAUCUAGGGUCAGAGAGGCAGUGACUGGCCCAGGGACCCAGAUGUGACCCUGGGCCGUGCUCUUAGCCAUGCUCUGUGCUGUGCUUGACUAAAGCCCUGACCUCUGUGGCCUCCCUGCCCUGGAUUCCAAAUCUGCCUGGGGUUCCAGCCCCUGAAAGGGCAGAGUCUGGCCCUGGAAGGGCCACUGGGACAGAGCUCCUAUGGGUGGGGUGGAGAGGGUGGUCCUCUGUCCAAGUCGGUGCCCUAAGCUGGGACCCCGCAGGAGGAGGUCUCACCAACUCAGACCUCAUGUGCAGUCACUGAAGGCCAUUGUGGGAACCACUGGACACAUGGGAUCCCUUGUCUGGGAGUGGGGUGAAGAGCCCUCUGCCCUUGGGCAGUUGAGUAGGGGACUUUGAGCACUGCUGCUCUGGGACCUGGGCAGUGGCGACCUAGCCAGCAGAGUCCUGGCCAAGGAGGUGUGGUCAGUGGGGGAUUUGGUCGUCAUGGGUCGGGUUAGUGGGGGCCUGGUCAGCAGAGACUUGGACACUGGGGCUUAGUGAAAGUGUGAUCAAUGGGGAAAUAGUCAAGGGGCCUGCUCAGCAGGGCCUGGCUAGCAGAGGCCUGGCCAGCUGGCCACUGGAUGACCUCAGACAGAGGCUUUGUCCUUGGAGCCUCUUUGCCUCUAUUCAUAGUGGGGAUGAGUCAUGGCAUCCCUGAGCACUCACCAAGUGCAGGUUCUGUACUGACCUUGUAGAUGGCCUUUUCCUUCAUCCUCACAGCAACUCCGUGGGUGGAUGCUGUCCCCAAAUGUAGCCAUUCCACAGGUGAGAUGUCUAGAGUCAGAGAGGUAAUGACUGGCCCAGAGACGCAGAUGUGACCCUGGGCUGUGCUCUCAGCCCUGCCCUGUGCCAUGCUGGACUCAAGCCCUGACCUCUGCAGCCUCCCUCCCUUAGAUCCCAGCCUCCCUCCCUUCGAUUUCCCUGGGGUUCUGGACCUUCAUGGGUUGGAGGGGGUGAUUCUCAGUCUAAGUCUGUGCCCGAAGCUGGGUCCCCACAGGAGGAGGUCUCACCAACUCAGACUUCAGGUGCGGUCACUGAUGGUCCCCAUGAGCCCCCCUGGACACAUGGGGUCCUUCAUCUGGGAGUGGGGUGGGGAGCCCUCUGCCCUUGGGCGGUUGUGGAAAAUGAAGGAGCUCUAGAGGGCUGCCUGGAGGGUGACGAUUGUCUCUCCUGGUCAAAGGGGCUUAGGGACUGGAACCUUCUCUGUCUGAUGCUCUAGAGACCUUGUCCUCCCUUUGUCCCAGGUAUUCCCAAGGAGGAUGGUCCCCCUGGGUGUUCUCCAGGCCCCAGGCCCCAGAGUUCUCUUGUUUUUUUCUUGGUGAUCCAGGAAAACAAAGCCCGCUCCCGUACUGACAGCUGGGAAUUGCGGAGUCCGCCGUCCUCCACCUCAGACGGGGUUUCCACGAGCAACGAGGCUGCUUUGAACUCAAUAGAAAACUGAGCAUCUUCGUGGUCCCAGAAGGAUCUCAGAAGGCUGAUCCUAAAGAGACGUCUGGUUCCUGACCCCAACUGCCUCCAGGUGCCCGGAACAGCCCAUCGUGGGCCCUUUACCCUCAGCAGGUGGAUGCUGUUUGUCCUGCCAGGGCAGGAUGGAGAUGGAUGAGGACCCGGAUAUCCUGCCCACCCAGGGACAAGGCAACAUCAUCAUUACUAAGUAUGGGGACGCUGAGCUGGGGCAGCAGUGGACAUGGAGCAUGAGCAUGUUGACAUCUGGAAAUUCGCCGGUCGCCUCUGGGUUAUGUGGUGAGUCCUCUGUCCCCCCACCCACCAGUCUCACUUCAGGGACGGGUUUUGUUUUUAGAAAGGUCUCUCUGAGUUAGGGCAGGUUUCCCCGGCUCAGGCCAAUGUCCUCUCCAGGAUCAGAACUCCUCCCUGCCUCUCCUACAGGUCCAGCCCGUGGUCAGGGUUAGGGCAGAGCCUCAAGGCCCAUCUAGGGAGCUCGGGAGAGUGAGUGGGAAAGAGAGGGGCUGGGUCAGCCCCAGGGCUCUCAGCACUGAGGUCUCCACAUGAGUAGGAGAGAAGGCGGCAGCCUGUGGGUCUGGCCCUGUCCCCUUGGGGCUUGCCCUGGUGAGAUCUGAGGGUGGUGGCCACAGGGCAAGGGGACACCUGGCCAGGCCUAUGGGCAGUUGUGUAGCAGGUCUCCAAGGGCUCAGGGGGCCCAGCUGAGGCAUCCUAUAGGGAGGGGCAUGGGGACAGCAAGGGCUGUGACCCUGGGAGGCUGGGGGAGAAGAAGGGUAAGGCCUGGCCUGGGCAUUUCAUAGUGAGGCCAGGGGGACAACACAGCGUGCAGCUGAAGGCCCCGGGAGUAGUGCUGGGAAAGGACCUGGGCCUGGUAAGGGGAGCCCAGCCUGGAGCCAGCCCCUCCGGACUCACAGGAUGGAGAGAGGGAGGAGCCUGGGGCAGGGGGGUGGGGUGAGCCCAUGAGACCUGCCACUUCUGGAACGUACCUGAACCAAGCUGGCCUAGAGUGGAGCUGAUAGUCUGGGGAGGAAAACAGGUGGGGUGGUCAGGGAACAGCGGCUCACCUGGGACCCCUCAGUGAGGGGACUUGGUCAGUCCCCAAGGCUCUGCGUGGCCCUCCAGAGACUCUGCUUCCCGCUGGCUCAGUCAGCACUGUGCAGGGUGGAUGGGGGGCUGAGUCGGGGCAGACAGGACAAUAGGGGGAGGACAGGCAGGCAUCCCAUGCCCUGGUUUUUGCAGUGGCUGGGAGGAGGCUGAGGGCUGAAAGUCAAUGACCCUGAGAGCUCACUGAGGCUGUAGGUGGGGUGGUGGGGCCAGCUCCACUGCCUGCAGGGCCCUUGGUCACCCUUGUCACCCCAGGCUUCUCCCCAGCAGUGCUGAGCAGCCCAGUUAGAGACCUGGGGGUCUCAUGCCUAGGCUCUGACAGGAAGAGAGUCCGGGAAGGGCCAGGGUGGCUGGAGAUAGGGUCACAGUCUCUGCGUCAGGCAGGAUGGGUGACGAUGGGGAACAGGCAGGGUCAGCGGCCAGGCUGCAGGCAGAGGCAGGUGCACACUGGGAGGUCAGACCCUGCAAGGCCUGUGGGGAGUGUCGGGUGGGAUGGGCUCCAGGUGCAUCCUCAGGGCGCUGGGCAGCUCUCAGGCCAGGCUCCCUGGACUCUGGUGGGUGAUGUGGUCACUCCCGAGGCACUGCAGUCAGUCAGGGCUCAGCCGCCCACCCUAGGCGGCACCCAUCCCGUCUCAGAACUGGACUUUCUCAGCUCCCGCAGAGGGUGUUGCGUCCAGCCCAGGAGGAGCAGCCCCAUUGUGUGGGCCGAGGUACCCCACGGGCCCCAAGUGGCCCCUGCCAGGCCAGCCUUGAGUUCCCUCUUCUCCAGGGUCCUCGUGCCUUGUGGGCGUCAGCUCUAUAGGGAGGCCCUUGCCUUCCUUCCCUGUGCCUUGUCCCGGGAUGAGACUUAGGGUGGAUGGGGAGGGCUGGGGCCCUUUCAUGGACAAGGAUGGCUCCUGGCCCGGGCAGGUCCUCAGCUCUGCCUGGGUUGCCUUACAGUGAGACAGAGCUGCCCAUGUCAAUGCCCUGAAGGUGAAGGUAAGAGCCAGUGCCUGCUGCGUGGGAGGCUGGUCCAGGGACCAGGAAUCAGGAGUGGUCGGUGAGGCAGAGGGGGUGGCCCGUGGGCCCAGGCAGUGGUGAGUGGGCCAUGGCUAUCCCUGGGACGGGCAGCCUUUCCUGAUGGACUCUGUUCCCAUGAGCGUUUGACCAAAACCCAAACCAAGAACCACAAUCUUGGCUCAGAGAUCAUUGCCUGUUUGCACCAAGUCCCCAGCUAAAGGCCAGGGCCCGACCAAAACUCAGGGUGUUUGUGGCCUGAGGAUGGCAUGUCCUGCGAUCACCAGUCCAGACCACCAGCUCCAGUUAGUUCAGAGAGUCUCAGCUCCCAGGGUCUGCUGUGUCCUGGCUCCUUCAGGGCCCUGAAGCCCAGGAUGCAGCAUCCAUGGGCCGCUGCUGGAGGCCUGGCAGCUCCACUAACUCCAUCCUGGUUCAUUUGACAGCAAAGAUGUCAGGAAAUAAAAUGCACUGCCAAGUGGCUGAAAAUACUCGGAGACUGGACAAAUAUAAGAACAGCAGGAAGGUAACAUAACAGCUGGGACUGGUGGCUCAGACCUGUAAUCCCAGCACUUCGGGAGGCCGAGGUGGGCGGAUCACCUGAGGUCAGGAGUUUGAGACCAUCCUGGCCAACAUGGUGAAACCCUGUCUCUACUAAAAAUGCA
This is a long non-coding RNA of Piliocolobus tephrosceles (Ugandan red Colobus), 5129 nucleotides long. RefSeq lists it as uncharacterized. The transcript is spliced from 4 exons. The record is from RefSeq and is a predicted model, not a curated record. Lineage: Eukaryota; Metazoa; Chordata; Mammalia; Primates; Cercopithecidae.